GGGGAUGUAGCUCGGUGGUGAGAGCGAGUGCCUAGCAUGCAGGAGGCCCUGGGUUCAAUCCCCAGCACCA
This 70-nucleotide transfer RNA is filed under the name Neotoma lepida (desert woodrat). It matches the Rfam family "tRNA". From Rfam's summary of the family: Transfer RNA (tRNA) molecules are approximately 80 nucleotides in length. Lineage: Eukaryota; Metazoa; Chordata; Mammalia; Rodentia; Cricetidae. The record is from Rfam by way of RNAcentral.